RNAcentral lists this ribosomal RNA (380 nucleotides) under uncultured eukaryote. Its description in RNAcentral is "partial 18S ribosomal RNA". It matches the Rfam family "Eukaryotic small subunit ribosomal RNA", at positions 592 to 976 of the family's 1831-position model. The record is from RNAcentral.
CAAUAGCGUAUAUUAAAGUUGUUGCAGUUAAAAAGCUCGUAGUUGGAUUUGUGGCGUACGGUGUGUUCCGGGCACUUGUUGUCUGAGUAACCUGCUGUUGCCAUCCUUGGGUGGAACCUGUGUGGCAUUAGGUUGUCGUGCAGGGGAUGCCCAUCAUUUACUGUGAAAAAAUUAGAGUGUUCAAAGCAGGCUUAUGCCGUUGAAUAUAUUAGCAUGGAAUAAUGAGAUAGGACUUUUUUGCUGUUUUGUUGGUUUGCGCAAAGAGGUAAUGAUUAAUAGGGACAGUUGGGGGUAUUCGUAUUCCAUUGUCAGAGGUGAAAUUCUUGGAUUUUUGGAAGACGAACUACUGCGAAAGCAUUUACCAAGGAUGUUUUCAUUAA